GCGUCCCUCUUCCUCGCUGGCAAGAACCUCUUCGGCUGCAUCCCCUUCGAGCUCGGCCUCCUCGGCUGGCUCAGACGGCUCAACCUCGCCGGCAGUGACUUCUCCGAGCCCAUUUCCUCCCGCCUCUUCAAUGUGACCUCAUUCGUCUCUCCUCAUCGAUCGGCUGAAGGCUCGGUGGGGGAAAGAAGGGGGGUGAUCACAGUCCUUCUGGUUUGUCACGCUGGCACACAAGAUGCACUGAAUAUUUUCUUGGCUUGUGUGUGAAUAAAUGCAGAGACGGUAUGGACAGCGAGCGCUCUCAUAAUCACAGCACUGAUCGGAUCUGGAGGCCCGUCCCUGGCUUGGGCCAUUGCGCAGCUCGGCUGGAUCGCUGGCCCCACCAUCGUGCUCCUAUUUGCCUUUGUCACUUACUACACCUCCACCCUCCUCACCACCUGUUAUCGCUCCGGCGACCCCACCACCGGCAACCGUAACUACGCCUACAUGGGUGCUGUCCGUGACAAUCUUGGUAUGUCACAUUUGUAUCUGUGUUCAUGUUCAUAUAUUCACAUACUAAUGUCCGAGUCAAGUCCAAUCAUGUUGUGUUGGUUGCUAAAAUCUUCUCUUUGAUUAAAUUCUCCAGGUAGCCUCAAAAUCAAGCUUUUUGAGCUGGUUCUAUACGUGAACGUAUUUGGGGUUGCCAUUGGUUACACCAUUGCAUCUUCCACCAGCAUGAUGUGAGUAUAUUUGCAGUGAGAUUUCUAGUGAUUGCUAUUUCGAUGGUGUCAAAAGUUAUGUGAGUUUGAUUUUAUUGGCUUCCAUGGUCAUUGCAGGGCUAUCAAGAGGUCCAAUUGCUUCCACGAGAAAGGUGAGAAGGACCCGUGUCCCAUCAACAGCAAUCCUCACAUGAUUGCGUUUGGCUUCGUUGAAAUCAUUUUCUCUCAGAUCCCCCAUUUCGAUCAGCUGUGGUGGCUGUCGAUGGUCGCCGCCUUCAUGUCCUUUACCUACUCCAUCAUUGAACUCGGCCUUAGUAUUGCCAAACUUGCAGGCACGUGAAAUUUUUUCUUGCUGAACUGCUCUAUUUAUGUUUCUAAGCUAUCUCCAUUGAUGAUAGAACCUAGUCGACUUAUGAAGUUCUGAUUUAGUGUUCUCUUCUGGAUUGUUUUAUCUUCAGAGACAGGGAAAAUUAAGGGAAGUCUCACUGGGAUCAACAUAGGGGCCUUGACCUCAACGCAGGAAAUAUGGAGGAACUUCCAGUCUCUUGGUGACAUCGCCUUUGCCUAUUCGUACUUCCUCACCCUCUUUGAAGUUCAGGUGACCAAAGCUCUCUCAAAUGCAUGACACAAGAAAGUACUAGUUAUGGUUAAUAGUUCUGAUGAAUUGAAAUCAUUGACAUGAUGAGUUUAUAUUUGUUUUAGGACACCAUCCGAUCCUCUCCAUCUGAAUCAAAGACGAUAAAGAAGGCAAGUCUUAUCAGCAUAGCAGCCACAACCCUUUUCUACAUGAUCUGUGGGUGCAUGGGCUACGCAGCCUUUGGGGAUAUGGCACCCAAAAACCUCCUCACUGGGUUCGGCUUCCACAAUCCAUACUGGAUGGUCGACAUUGCAAACGCCGCAAUCGUGAUCCACCUCGUCUGCCCGUACCAAUUCAACUGCCAACCGCUAUUCGCCUAUGUUGAGAAGACCUUGGUUGAGAAAUUUCCCAACAGCCAGUUCUUCACGAGGGAGAUCGAAAUCCCCAUCCCCGGGUGCAGCCCUUACAAGCUCAAACUCUUCCAGUUGGUCUGGAGGACGAUCUUCGUGAUCGGGACCACCUUCAUCUCCAUGCUCCUCCCAUUCUUUAACGACAUUGUUGGGCUGCUCGGAGCGCUAGGUUUUUGGCCUCUCACGGUCUUUUUCCCACUGAUUGUUCCACCACCUCCUCUAGUCAGUCUCAUGGUAGUUUGAACCCCUGUGUUUCCCCCAUUCACCUUGGGAGUCAUUCUUAGAUUUAGACCUUGUCUGGUUUAUCAAAUCUAUAACGGGGCAAGACACAUCGCGCUACUAUGUCGACAGCGAUUGAACCACGCCUUCACCACCAUUGAUCUCUCAAACUCCAUCUCGACUUUUUGUUGGUAGGAGAGAUUUUCUAUCCAAUGUGAUUUCUUGAUAGCAAAGCAUCGGCACACACGACCAAUGACAUUAUAAAAUCCUAAAUCUUAAACUGUUUUACGAUUUGACGAAAGUCUUAGUUGGUAAUGGUAAUUUAUUGCCUAUUAAGCAAGUUGGUAAUUUUUUUUUUUUUUUUACAUAUGAAUAAUGAAACAAGUUGUAUCUAAACUUUAAUUUAAUGUGUAAUGUCGUACAUGAACUUUCAAUUUGUUCAAUAUAAUCCCUAAACUUUAAUUCAAUAUGCAAUGUCGUCACCGAAUUUUUAAUUUGUCUAAUGUGAUCCCUAAAAUUUUGAUACAUGUUCAAUCCAAUCCCUAAACUAUAUGAAAAUGUGCAAUAUUACCAUUGUCAAAUUUCAUGGACCAUUUGUGUAUUUUUCCUUUUGCACGCUUGCUCUCAAUCUUNNNNNNNNNNNNNNNNNNNNNNNNNNNNNNNNNNNNNNNNNNNNNNNNNNNNNNNNNNNNNNNNNNNNNNNNNNNNNNNNNNNNNNNNNNNNNNNNNNNNUCUUAGUUACUCAACUUGGAUGCAAAAGUUCUUAUGCUAUUUUGAUUUUAAUGGUUCAUUAUUUACUUGAAGGAUCAAUGAACUGAGAAAACUCUCCUCCAAGCUUACUUCUCUCUUUAUCUAAGUUCUAACUUAUUGAUGUCAUUUCACUCGCAUCCUAUCAUGGCUUCCUCUACUUCACUCACUCACUCAUUAGCAUGCUCGUCUUGGGCAUCCUAAUAGAUAAUUUUUAGUCAUGUUUGCAAUUCUACUUCAAGAUUAGUUUCUUGUGAGUCCUGUCUCAUGGGACAAAUCUCGUCAAUUGCCUUAUGAGUUUGCUAGUCAUCGCACAUCUUUUCCUUUGAUUAUAAUUCAUUUGAUGUCUAGAUGAGUGCAAUUUUAUCUAUUUUUAGUUUCAUAUAUUUUGUAUUAUUCAUCAAUGACUACUCUCAGUUUACUUGGUUCUUUACUAUGAAAAUUAAAUUUGUAGUGCAUACACACUUUUGUUGCUUCCUUUGUUUUAUUGAAAAUUUUUGUAACGCCAAAAUUAAAUUUUUACAAACUCAUGAUGGAGGGAACCAUCUCAAAAUGGCCCAUUAGAACGCAAAACACUUAGUCGAAAUGUCUUGAUCCUUAUUAAUCUAUGCUCCUAUGCUUUCUUCAAAUUGGGUUGAUGCUCUUUGCUACUACUUACACUAUUAAUCAAUUUCCCAAUCCUGUCACCUAUGACAUUUAUUCUUUCAACUUUUUAUUUGGGUUCUAGUUUAAUUAAUUGUGUUUCUCACAAGUUAGCACCUCAUUUUGUGCCAUGGGUAUUUCUCGAGUAUGCGUCCAAUCACAAAAGCUAUGCUGCAUUGAUUGAUCAAGUGAUCGUGCUUUUAUUGGUCGUUAUGCUUGGCUUGAUUAGAGGAUUUUUUUUCCUUUUUAUAUAAUCCUUCAACUCUUUGUCUUGUAACCCACCGUUUAGGAUCAGCCCCUUCAUUUUUUGUUUCAUUCAAUCAAUUUAUUCUUCCUUCUUGCUCCUCUGACGCUCUCUCCUCCUAUCCUACUCAAACUCCUUGGCCUCUCUCCUCUUCUCUAUCCUCACCUCCUAACCCCCCUCCCUCCUCUCUUUUGCCCACCAACUUGCUUCUAUUUCUUUUUCCCCUUCACCGCCUAGCCCUCUGACCCCAAUUAUCGUGUCCCAACCUAACUCCUCUCUCGAUUGAAUUCCUCCCACAACAGAGCUGCAAAUCCUCUUUUCAUCUAUGUCAAGCUCCUAUACUUAUGUUUCUUUUCUUCCCACUCAUCCUAUUCAGAUUCGUGACAAAUCUACAACUUCUAAACCUAAUUUUUUAUUUAAUCACUCUCACUCUUUCACCAAGGGACAUCAAUGUGCUACUCUAUGGCCGUUCUUGCUUGACCCACGUUAGAAAGCAACCAUGACAGAUGAAUUUUUUAAUGCCUUGUUCUUCAACCAUACAUGGGAUCUUGUACAAACUAAACCUUCUAAAAAUUUAGUUGGUUGUAAAUGUGUUUUAAAGUUAAGGAAAAAUUCAAUGGAACUAUCCAACGCUUCAAAACUCACCUCUUUUCACAAGGCGAUAUAUUGAACAUGUACAUACAGUUCAAAACUAAAUUGAACAUGUACUAAAGUUCAGGAACAACAUUAAACAAAUUAAAAGUUCAUGAACAAUAUUUCAUAUUAGACUAAAGUUCAAUGACCGUAUUAAGCAAACUUAAAUUUCAUGGAUCACAUUGUACAUUAGAUCAAAAUUCAGAAAUCAUUUGUAUUAUUUACCCUUAUUUCUAAUGUUGAUCAGGAAUUCUCUUUUACUUUAUUGCCCAAAACCCAGAUAAUGGGUGGACUCCUUCCCAAUACAAGCCCAAAAUUACUCAGACAACCCUCACAAACCCAAGAGCCAGUAGGCCCAACGUUAAACCUAAAUCAUCGAACCCUAAUGUCCAAAAGAAAGUCCCAAGCUAAAUUACCUAAUUACAAAGCCCAACGCCUAGAAAUCCCCUCGCAAGAUGGCCUGAUGGCCCGAGUCCCUUAUUACAUAUCACCCGAGGGGAAAAACUAAUACUUCUACAAGAACAAGGAAACACAAAGCACAAAGGCUCGGAUGACAAUCUAAUCCAGGAUUCUCCAUUUAAAAUAUAGAUUGUUAGCUUCAUCAUCCACUACUCUCCUUCCAUCACUUAUUAAAGCUUCGAAGGCAGGUCUGAUCCAUAAGCAAAUUGCCUGCCAAAACCUUGUUUACAUGGAGUGGUUUGCCCAUGAAGAACCAUAUUUUGCUCCUUCCAAAUGCUAUAUACAGUGGCAUACCAUGCUUGAACUAGACAUUAGACUAAACUAGUACAUUUAGGAUUUUUAAAAUAUUUAUGAUUGAAUUGAAAAAAAAAAUGUAAUACAUUUAGGAUUUUUAAAAUAAUUUUUCUCAAAAUAGUAUUAUUAUUUUUUUGUUCGAAAGCAAAAUAAUGCUGUGUUGAAUGAUAUCUUAUAUAUUAGUUGAAGCAAACGCGUGAUUUAAUAGGUAUAACUAAUUACUGUCAUGAGCUAAAUAGUGCUCUGUUGAAUGAAUUAUUGUCCUUGCAUAUUAUCCAACUACUGGUCGAAAUGUUAAGCAUCAUUUCACUUGUGCCAAAGGAAAGUUAAAUUAGUUACCAAGAAAAAGAAAAAUGAAAUUAGAUCUACACUAUUCUACUAAAUCAUCAAAUUUUUAUAGAAGUGUCAAAAAGAACGAAAGAACCAUCCCAUUAAUUUUGCAGUCUCAGUUGUAGCUUUUGUUGUUUAGCCACAAAAAUAAAGGGCAAAAGUCCUAUACCAUGCUCACUGAAAACAAAAAUCUCAAACUUAUAUCUAUGUAAUAUAUUUACUCCUAUUAAAGUUCUGCUACUGAAAACUGUUAAAAGAUCUAACUUCAUGGACGCCAAAAAGCAAACAAUAUUGACUCGGCACUCAUGUGGAUUAAAUAAAAUAAAAAUAAUGAGUUUAAGGUAAAAUGAAUAGCAAUAGGCAUAAUUUGGGGCUUUUGAUAUCCAGGAUGAAGUUAAAAUACAUCAGCGUGAAAAGGUAAUUAUUAUCCUACAUAUCCGAACUUGUGAUGUCAAACAUUAACUGAAGUUCAUAUUACUCAGAGCUACAAGCUCCUAAUUCUUGCUGACUCAAAAUUUCAACUUUUAUUCCAUGCUGAAGUUGAGUUCUUACAAUUAUGCUCAGCUGCCGUAACGAAUUUCAAGUCAUUCUGUACUGUAUUGCCUAGAUUUAUCUCAAGACUCUAUUAACAUCGCAGUUCAUGUGAGAUCAACCAACACAACCAUCUAACCAAGAAAUGGCAUUGACUGUUCUGUUUUGCCGAUGCUAUAUGGUUCCCUUUGAUUCGUGGACUUGGGCAAAGUGCUAUCGGUCUCACUUGAAUGGGCCGGUGGCCCUGGUGCUCUGUUUACAGAAAGGCCUGGCACUUGAAACCAACUUCCAAAUCCAUAUGAUAACUUACUCCAAUCUUUGUAAAUUUUUUGACAAUUUUCUAAACUUUUCCAAAUCACUUUUUGUUACCAUCUUUCAUUUUUCUUCACGUUGUCGCCUCCAUUCGUAAAGGGGAAAAAACAAGAACAAAAACAAAAAUGUAGUUGUAGCUUCUUCUUUUAGUUUUCUUUUUUGGUUUUAGUGUUAAAUUAGUGUCCUGGCCAGUUUUUGUGCAUUUCAAUUAAUCCACCACUCCAAGUGAUAUUAAAGGAGGCACUCCUGACAUCGGCCUACUGCACUCAGGAUUUUACUUCUGGAGCGCUUCCAAUAAGAUUUGAACCCAAGAUCACAAAGAUGAAGAUUUCAUUGACAUAUUAUUGGAAAACUGAAUCAAGUCUUGUAUGCCAACAUUGUGGAAGUGUGUUAUUUGAUUUCACCACCGCAUAUGGAUAAAGUAAAUGCGCGAUCAUUGAAUUUGUCCAUGGAGCUUAAGAUCACAGAGUUGCAGUUUGUAACCUUUAAGUUGAAUAUCGACCGCUUUCAUACCUAAUUGAACUUGAUUUUCUAAAAACUUAGAUCUCUGGGUGAUACCAUCGUCAUCAUUAGAUGACUGAUGACAUGAUUUUUUUCCCAUUAAGGGAACAAAUUCUCUUCCCUUAAUAUGAAAACCAUUGAAUUUUCUCCCUUGUCGGGUCCACUCUUGCCAAUCAUCGGUGGCUUCGUUUAUUCUAUGGUGUCGCUCCCAUUUUGCGCGUGUUUUGAAGUGCACACCGGAGAUAGGACAAAACACUUCAGCUUCAGCAUCUAAGGCUUUUAAAAAAGUCAUCUGUGGUUGCCACAUUGGCUUUAAAAUUGAGAGUCUCUUUCCCACCUCUCUACCUGGUUCGAAUCGCUUGCUUUAUAAAGAAGCUUCCCCUAAUCCUCAGAAGUGCACCCCAAAUGGUGAUCUCUUCCCUGAUAAUAGAGAGAUAUCAACUAUAGGGCAAAAGAAGGCACCACAUCCCCACAUGCAGUGAACGCAAGGCCGGACGAUGAAGCUACUCUCGAUUUCACCCCACAAGCAAAAAUGAAAUAUCAUCAAAAUACCAGACGAUACAUUCAUUUGAUAAUGUAAUUAAUGAGUUCUCGCAUGAAAUGUUUCUUUACUUUCAUCUAAUAUUUUUUAAAAUAUUAUUCAUAAGAUAAAUGAGAAAUUAAUUUUUUUUCUCCCUCUUGUCCAACUGAUACUAAAUAAAUUAAAGGACCUCCGCCUUGUCCCCAUAAUGUCUCACCACCACAAGGUAACGCUGCACCUACCGGGGAAAAAAGUGACAGGAGGAGUAAGUCGACAUUUUCUAAUAGUGACAUCCAUGAUGACAUUUUUUGACUUUAUCGGAAAAAAGCAGGAUUGAAGAUUCCGUGCCUUCCGAACACCCAACGCAGAUUUGAUUGAAGUUUCCUUUCUCACGGGUUUACGAUGAAGCAUGACCUGACGUUGGCCUCCACCUUUAAAUUGUGAGCUACUCUGAAUAUAAUAUUUCAUCAGGCUAACUUAAAGGAGGAGAUGUCGAUGAUGGAUUCGCGAUUCCAAGAGGAGAUGAACCUACAACGUAGAUUAGAUUGAAGUUUUCCAUUUUCACUGCUUUCCAAAGAAAGCAUGACCUAAUGUCGGUUCCCGCCCUCAAAUUGCGAGCAAAGAUUACCUGUAAUAUUUUAUUAGGCUAACUUAAGGGAGGAGACGUGGAUGAUGGACUCGCAAUUCAAGGAGAGACGAACCCACGCGCAGAUUGGACUGAAGUUUCCCCUUUCUCACGACUUUCGAGAAAGCAUAAACCUGAUGCUGGCUUUCCACAGAUAAAUUGUGAGGCAAACAUGACCUCAAGGAGGGAGAUGAACCCCACAACAUAGAUUGGAUUAAGGGUUUACCUUUCUCACGAUUUUUUGAGAAAGCAUAACCUAACGUUGGUUUUCACAUUUAAAUCAUGAGCAAAAAUGACCUCUAUAUAAUACUUUAUUAGGCUAACUUAAACGACAUCAAUGAUGGACUCGUGAUUUAAGGAGGAAACGAACCCACAACAUAGAUUGGAUUGACGUUUUCAUUUUUCACGACUUUCCGAGAUAGCAUCACCUAAUUUUGAUUUCCACAUUUAAAUUGCAAGCAAAAAUGGCCUCAAUAUAAUUUUUUAUUAGCCUAAUUCAUAGGAGGAGACGUCGACGAUGGACUAGCAUUCAAGGAGGAGACGAGCUUCACCAUCUGAUCCACCGAUGCUUUUUACUUAGUCAAAUAGCCAGAUGAGAUCUCAUCAUAUCAUUAAUCUCAGUAAAGCACUUCGUACGUGUAAUGGAAUAAUUACAAUAACUCUUCGGUUGUGCAGUGGACUCGACUAAUCUCCAUAAUUCCAGUCUCCCUGAGGUACAGUUUAAAUGACUCGAAGGAAUUGAAAAGAGACUUACUCUGACCAGAGUAAAGAGACUUUAUUUGAAGAUAAAUAGAAGCAACUCAUGUGAUUCGACCCAGAAACAAGAAGAAUGACCAAUUAUUCUAUUUACAAAUUUAUUACUAAUAAAAGAUUGCUUGUUAAAUAAUCCGUGAUUAGAGGUAUAUCUUUACACGGCCGUCUUGUACUCGCUUUUUCUUUUUCCAUUUAUGAAUCUCGCAUUUAUACAUCUUUCUUACGGGGGAUCGGCAUAGUGGGCAACACAAAAUUAAAUUAAAUAAAACAAAAGCUUUCCAUCGAAUAAGUCUUUUAAAAAUCGGACAUAUAUCAAUAAAAAUGGAGCUGAUGAUCAAGCUUUUGGAGUUGGCCCAAGAGAUCAUUGGUAACAUCUUCUUAAGCUGAUCAAAACGAUGGCCACGCAAAUCUCCAAGAUAAGCAAAAAUGUCACCAUCCAGAAAAAACAUGCUAUGGAACUGCAAAUUACUUGUUGCUGACAAAACGAUAUAAUUAAAACUGAUCAAUUUCAAUCCUUAUAGUCUUUUUCGGAAUCGAAAAAGGGUUGUGACUAGAGCUGGCAAAAUAGGUCAUGAACCCAUAUUAUGACCCAUUUUAAUUAAAUGGGUCAUAUGUGGGUCAAGUGAAAAUUAAAUAUGAGUUAGAAAUGGGUUUUAGAAAGUAAAGCAAGAAAAAAAAAUGGAUCUAAAUGGGUUAUUAGGAAACCUACUUUGAACCCAUGACCUUUCUCCUAUGCAGCACAGGCUCCGCCUCAAUUCUCUCUUCCUUCCAUGAUUGCAAAUCUUUCGAUGAGUAGAGCACCCCCUCUCCUUUCCGAUCCCAACCGAUUGCAACCACUGCCUACCCCACCGUCACACCGCCAUCCUCGUCGUCGAUCCCGAGCUCAUCGGCCUCAGGCGAGCCACGAGCUCGCCGGCCUUGACGGAGCUCGAGCUCGCCUGGAUCGGGCGAGUCACAAGCUCGUCGGCCUUGGCCGAGCUCAGGCUUGCCUAGAUCUAGUGAGCUCGUGCUGCGACGGAGCUUGGGGUCGCCUGGAUUGGCCAAGCCGCGAGCUCACCGACCAUGGCCGAGCUCGAGCUCGCUUGGAUCUGGCGAGCCGCAAGCUCGCCGGCCGCGAUGGAGCUCGAGCUCGCCCAGAUCGACCGAGCCUCGAGCUCACUGACCGCAAUGAAGCUCGGCAGCUUGAGCUCGCUUGGACGGGCAGAACCUUGAUCUUGCCGAACUGCAGCUUGGUCGGUUACCAUCGACGGAGUAACAAUGGAGAAGAAGGAGGAGGAAAAAGAAAGAAAAGAAGAAAAGAAGAAAAUAAAAUAAAUAAUAAUAAUUUAGAAAAAGUUAAAAUAAUAAAAAAGUCAAAUUUUUUUAAUGAUAUUUGGUGGAUAGAUAUCCAUAUACAUAUCGGAGAAGUACUUUUAGACGAAGCUUGAUGCAGUUUAGAUUGAUAAAUAAAAAUUCUAAACAUCAUAAUGUAAUUUUUAACUUGGUGAACUAAAAUCAAGAAAUCAACCAAAAUUAAAAACAAUUACAAUUAAGAAGCUAUGCAUUCUCGAAUUCAAGAAGAUUUUUUAUAAGCAAAUAUUAUUUUCAUGUCAAUUAUUAGCUCAUCAAACUUUUUUCUUAUCAAGAGUUCUUCAAAAGUAUUUCAAUUUAAAGGUUUUUCACAUUUUUUUAUUUUAUUUACUUUUUAAAUUUGGUGUAAAGUUUUUAUUUAAGUAACUAAAUAGAGUCAAAUAUAAAUGUGUUUUGAUAAUAUGAGCCGGGUCGAGUAUAAGUUAUCAAUUUUACAUUGCAUGAAAAUUGAUCAAAACGGGUUAAAUGGGUUAAUAUGGGUUGGACCUUUUUUGACCUGACUCAAACCCAACUUGACACACCCUUUUGAUGGCCCUAGUUGUGACCCGCUUUUGAAUCACGGGACGAGUGAAGUAAUCCACAACUUAGUCAAGCUUUAAAUUUGGCCCGAUUGAAGAGAGAAAAUCGAAGAGUGGAAGGAGGACCCUUAUCCGAUUCUAUGUCUAUAAUAGUCGCUUCGAGGAGGGGAGUGGAGGGAAUGAUAUUUAAGCCUGAUAAACGAGUUGUCUUAAUGAUGACGAUUAUUGUUAAAGAAGGUGGAUUUAUGUCGUGGGACAUGCCCAAAAUUCUGUUAAAAGCAUAUAAUCUUUUGCUUGGAUUAGGACAAAUGCUCAUGACUUUUCGGAAAAACAAAAGCCCAAGUUCUAUUUGAACACUUAGAGUGCGUUUGGUAACCAUUUUGUUCUCGAUAAUAAUUUAUUAUUAGAAAUUAUUCUUUUUUAUUAUGUUUUUUUUUUUUUUUGUGACUCGGGAACUACCGUACAGCUGGCGGCGUAAAUCCGGGUCGAAUUGAGCCACCACCACAGACCCAGCCACGGGUGAGUCGCGCGAAUGCGACGCCUCUAUGAUUCGAACUUCUCCUCUUCGUGAGGGAGAGAGAGCUCGAAGCCAACUGCGCCACCGCAAACAAUGGUUUCUUUUUUAUUAUGCUCCUAGGCAUAUUUUCUGAAUAAAAGAACGCAUUUAAUAAUUUUCCAAAAAUUUUUGAUUGUAUAAUAGAUAAAGAACCUAAUUGUCUUUGGUCAACGACAUAAAAUUUCUAUUCCAAUUAUAAAAUUUUAUCAAAUCAUAGAAAUCUAUUGAUUAAUUAUAUUUAUAUAGAUUAAAUAUAUUUAUACUAAAUAAUAAACAUAUUAACUACUCAAAGUUUUAUUAACCACGACGAGGCCUCAGCCUGGGCCACCUCGCCGGCCAUCGAGGGCCGAGGCCGAGGCCUCGCCGGUCGCUUACCAUGGCCGAGGCCAGCGACCGACCAAAAGAAGAAAAAAAGACAAAAAAAAUUAAAAAAUUAAAAGAAACAAAAAAAGAAUAUAAAUUUACAAAACGUGUUUCUAUUCAUUUUUUAUUCCUGGAAUAAGUUUACUAAACGCGUCUUUCUUGUAAAAAAUUGUUCCCCGAAACAAUUUUUGAACAUAAAUAUUAAUAAUCGCACCCUAAAUUGUGUAAUGAAAAUCUACAUUUUUUGUUAUUUCUUUUAUAUACACAAGCUGUGUUUUCUGCAGAAUUUUGCCUCUCUUUGGCCCUCAAAGCGUGAGAAGGGAAAGAAACUAUUGAGAAACAUGACAUUUCUGCAAAUUCGAGACCAGGGACUUGAAACAUUCAAUUUCGCUAAAGCAAAUAGCGGUUCGCCAAACACAUUGUCGAAAGAAGUUUCGGAUUCAUAGUAUUAAGUCAGAAAUAGUCUAUUCAUCCGUCGCUAAACAGCAUAAUCAUCCGAGGUUACGCCUGUUGCUUGAUCUGCGUUAACAGAAAUCGCUACAACGUUCGCCUUUCUGGAGAAGAUGGACGAAGAAAAAUGUCGUCUUCUUGUUGAUCGGUGAGAAACCAGCAAACAUUUUCUCUAAAAAGAGGAGAGAGAGAGAGAGAGCUGGUGACGAAGCCAUAGCUUGAAAAAUUGAAAAGAUGAGAGAGAGAAAGAGGAAUGGAGGGAGAUAAAGUGCCUGCAUAUACAACCCUCGAAAAAUUGAAAAGAUGAGAGAAAAAGAGCAUCCAAGCCCCUUCAGCUUUAAUUUUUCAAUUCUUACAUAUUUCAGAUCACCGGACAGAUAUCGCUUUUUAAGUAGAGCAUAUACGCUAGGUCAACCGAUGACGUGACAGUCGCCGAACACUGAAUAUUUUCUCGAAUGAUCCAAGGCUUAAAAGCGCCCGCCCGAACCCACCAAAAGAAAAAGAGUAGUUGCCACUGUUCGCGAAUUCCCGAGAGGUCCUAACGCGACAAGGGACGCACGAGCAACAGUGCCGCCCCGCUUCUCUGCUGGACGGCGUAUGGGCCGUCCGAUUUGCUGACCCUGGGUCGGUCAAAGUCAAUCAUCGACGGCCGAAACUCGCUCUCACGUCACCCCUUCAAGGAGCUUCUGAUUUAUUAUUCUUCUUUUUUAACCAACUUCUGAUUUAUUCAUUUUAGGGAUUUUUCUUUUUGAGAAAGAAAUGUUUUUCUCGAAUCUUUUUUUUUAAAUUUUUCUUUUUCUGUGGACGGAGCAGCAUGGGCCCACCUAACUCAAUGGGCCGCCUAUCCUCUAAUUUAUUUCCCUUUCCCGGCUCUCCUUUCAUUUAUUUAUUCAUUUGUUUGUUUGUUUUUAUCAUUUCGGCACUUAUCAUGGUUUCUCUUCUUUUUCUUGGCAGCACGCAUCCUGGCUUUGGAAUUUUCCUCCCUUUUUCCCUCUUUCGCUUGUUUUUCUUGCGGUUGUAGGAUAAUCAGAUCUUUCUCUUUUGGCCAUAGACAUAAAGAUAUAUUUGAAUUAAGAUAUUAUCUGUGUAUAUUGUGUAAUAGCCGUGUUAUUCGGUUUUAUGGACUGACUAUCUAUUUAUAACAAGAUAAGUUUUAUUCUCUAGUUACAUUGACACAAUGAAAUGGACGGUUGAUGGCCGCAGCUUUAAUAGUAUGAUAGGAGAAAGGAAACGUUGAAUGAUAAGGAUCUAAGCAUUUUAGUCAAUGAUCAGCUCCAUUAAAUAGAUCUCCCCUACUGUGGCUUAAUUUUCAAAAGAAGUCCAAAUUUAUUGUUUGACCCAUCUGAAAAGAGCACUUGGAUUAGACUUGUAUAAUUCAUUAGUGCAAUGGUUAGGUUAAGCAAGUGCUACUUUAGUGACGUUGAAAUGAUUUUCUGUAUAUAUAGGCUAAAGUAUAGACCCUAGGCUGCCUAAUCAAGCUUAUUCCUCCUUAAUUCGGCUUGAGAAUAUGGGAUUUGUCGUAUAAAUAAUCUUUAUGGGGAAUCUAAUUUCAAGAUGAGAUUUCGCUGAAUAAUGUCGAACUUUAAAAAAAAAACUAAGAAUAUAUUUAUAUGUUACCAAACUUUAAAAAAAAAUAGAUAUUCUCAUUUAAUAAAUGAUUGUGUGAGUCAUGCUCAACCCUAAAUUAAGCAUUAUCCUGUGCACUUUUACCUAAAUCCAAUUUCUUUAUAUUGUUUUGGAAAAAAAUUAUUUUUAUUUUGUUUGCUUAAAAAUAUUUAGGUUCCAUUCUCAUUUAACUAUGACAGAUAAUUUCAUUUAUUAAUAUAAACAACAAAACUUCUAAGUUUCGGUUUUUAUUUUUUUUAUAUUUUUUUGUCCUUUCGUUGAUUUUUCCGGUGUAACAAAUUUCUAAUCAGAAAUGAUUCUUUUUUAUUCUGUUCCUGAAAAUAAUUUAUAAGCAUUUUAAACCGUUUGAUAAGUGUCUAAAAUUUCUGAUUUUAUAAUAAGAGCCGAAAUUUUUUAAAUAGAAAAUAAUAUAUUUUCCAGCGGAGAAGCGGGGCGGCACUGUUGCUCGUGCGUCCCUUGUCGCGUCAGGACCUCUCAAGAAUUCGCGAACAGUGGCAACUACUCUGUCUUUUCGUGGGCGCUUUUAAGCCUUGGAUCGUUCGCACACGUUUCCGCCUCCCUCAUCGUUCAGGAGCACUAGUGGAGUCAAGUUUUACGCAAGUUUACGCAAGUUUACGCAAUAUUUACCUGAGUAUUGGAGUCAACCUUCUGAACGCGCCGGGUGAGACACGGAAAUGCCCUUCGUCUGAAUAAUUUCACUUUCCUUCAAUCGAGAUCCUUUCCUGCGCACUCUAACAGCGACUGCAUAACAAUACGCUAUGCCGUUCCACCUAACAUCCGAUGCCUCCUUCACCGUUUCGAUUUUUCGCUACAUAAAUAAACCCAAAUUCCAGCCAUCCUCAUGCAUCCCUGCAACUCCCGCUGGCAACUCUAACCACAACCUCAUUCCUUCUUCUCAAUUCCAAUGUCCAACUCUCUCUCUCUCUGCCCCCCCUCCCCUCUCCCCCCGCGCAUGGAGAAUCCGAACAACCAGGUCUUCCAUGAAUGCAUUGAUGUCCCCACAGAACUUGGUGGGCCAGAAGGUGGCUCCGAAUGCUUUGAUGACGACGGUCGUCCCAAAGGCACAGGUACUUUGUUUUUCUCUUCAUUUCUUUUUCGAAUAGAGUGAAGUGAAAAUUACCACGACUUGUUAUGAAAGACUUGGAAUAACUACCGCAAAGAAUCGCCUGUCUUCAAGAUCAAACCAGGGAAUAACACAACAAAGUUCGAGAUAUUCUUCACAGAAAAGAAGGAAAUCUUUUUCUAUAAAACACAGUGAAAAAUGAAAUUUAUUUACGCCAGUAGCCUAGCCUAGUAAUAAAUUUCACGUCAACCCGAUGUUGUGAUCUCAGGGCAGUCAGUGAAAUUAUUACCUUUUUUAUUCCUUGCUUGACGAAUUCAGCAAUCCUCUUCUCUUUUCCAUUUUAAGGGAGUAAAAUAAAAUGGUAUGGGGCCCAACUUAUCCUCUUUAUUCUCUCCUCUCUCUCUUCUCUCUCCCCUCCUCCGCACGCUCUCUCUAUCUCUCUCUUCUGUCGCCCAGCUCUCUCUCUUCCACCGAGCCUUCGGAGGACCGAUUCACGCCGCCUGCGCUCGCGGCGGGGUUGCGUCCCUCUUCCUCCCUGGCAAGAACCUCUUCGGCAACAUCCCUGCCGAGAUCGGCCUCCUCGGCUAGCUCAGACGUUUCAACCUCGCCGGUAGUGACUUCUCCAAGCCCAUCCCAUCCCGCCUCUUCAUGUGACCUCACUCGUCUCUCUCGAGCUCUCCCUAAACUCGCUCUCCGGUCCGAUCCCGACCCAGAUCAAGAACCUCCGCAACCUCGCCCACUUGGACCUGUCCUCCAACUCGCUCAGUGGGUCGCUCCCCGAAGCGCUCGCGAAGCUCAGGAGCCUCUCCGGGACGCUGAAC
This 15239-nucleotide long non-coding RNA is filed under the name Eucalyptus grandis. Its description in RNAcentral is "long non-coding RNA (EGRA_LNC002028)". Lineage: Eukaryota; Viridiplantae; Streptophyta; Magnoliopsida; Myrtales; Myrtaceae. The record is from RNAcentral.